AUACGUAGGGGGCGAGCGUUGUCCGGAAUGAUUGGGCGUAAAGGGCGCGUAGGCGGCCCGGUAAGUCUGGAGUGAAAGUCCUGCUUUUAAGGUGGGAAUUGCUUUGGAUACUGUCGGGCUUGAGUGCAGGAGAGGUAAGUGGAAUUCCCAGUGUAGCGGUGAAAUGCGUAGAGAUUGGGAGGAACACCAGUGGCGAAGGCGACUUACUGGACCGUAACUGACGCUGAGGCGCGAAAGUGUGGGGAGCAAACAGGAUUAGAUACCCUGGUAGUCCACACUGUAAACGAUGAAUGCUAGGUGUAGGGGGUAUCGACCCCUUCUGUGCCGCAGUUAACACAAUAAGCAUUCCGCCUGGGGAGUACGGCCGCAAGGUUGAAACUCAAAGGAAUUGACGGGG
This 397-nucleotide ribosomal RNA is filed under the name uncultured bacterium. Its description in RNAcentral is "partial 16S ribosomal RNA". It matches the Rfam family "Bacterial small subunit ribosomal RNA", at positions 523 to 918 of the family's 1533-position model. The record is from RNAcentral.